UCUCCGUUGGUGAACCGGCGGAGGGAUCAUUACCGAAGUUACCUUCAAAACCCACUGUGAACCUUACCUCUUGCCGCGUUGUCUCGGCGGCAGGCGGUGUGCGUCGCGCGCCCUAGCGGGCCGCGCCGCUCCCGUCCCCGCCGGCAGCGCCAAACUCUAGAUGCACAGCGGACUGUACGUUCUGAUUUACAAAAAAAAACAAGUUAAAACUUUCAACAACGGAUCUCUUGGUUCUG
RNAcentral lists this unclassified non-coding RNA (236 nucleotides) under plant metagenome. RNAcentral's name for it is "partial contains small subunit ribosomal RNA, internal transcribed spacer 1, and 5.8S ribosomal RNA". The record is from RNAcentral.